GCUGGUAUAGUGUAAUGGUUAGCACAUGAGGUUCUGAAGAAAUGUCCUUGACAAUAAUCGUCCUCGUAAUCUAGGUUCGAUUCCUAGUACUAGCU
The sequence is a transfer RNA, 95 nucleotides long. It matches the Rfam family "tRNA". From Rfam's summary of the family: Transfer RNA (tRNA) molecules are approximately 80 nucleotides in length. Their secondary structure includes four short double-helical elements and three loops (D, anti-codon, and T loops). Further hydrogen bonds mediate the characteristic L-shaped molecular structure. tRNAs have two regions of fundamental functional importance: the anti-codon, which is responsible for specific mRNA codon recognition, and the 3' end, to which the tRNAs corresponding amino acid is attached (by aminoacyl-tRNA synthetases). tRNAs cope with the degeneracy of the genetic code in two manners: having more than one tRNA (with a specific anti-codon) for a particular amino acid; and 'wobble' base-pairing, i.e. permitting non-standard base-pairing at the 3rd anti-codon position. The record is from Rfam.